Molecule: transfer RNA, 63 nt
Filed under: Cavia porcellus (domestic guinea pig)
Lineage: Eukaryota; Metazoa; Chordata; Mammalia; Rodentia; Caviidae
Rfam family: tRNA
About the family: Transfer RNA (tRNA) molecules are approximately 80 nucleotides in length. Their secondary structure includes four short double-helical elements and three loops (D, anti-codon, and T loops). Further hydrogen bonds mediate the characteristic L-shaped molecular structure. tRNAs have two regions of fundamental functional importance: the anti-codon, which is responsible for specific mRNA codon recognition, and the 3' end, to which the tRNAs corresponding amino acid is attached (by aminoacyl-tRNA synthetases). tRNAs cope with the degeneracy of the genetic code in two manners: having more than one tRNA (with a specific anti-codon) for a particular amino acid; and 'wobble' base-pairing, i.e. permitting non-standard base-pairing at the 3rd anti-codon position.
Source: Rfam by way of RNAcentral
GGGGAUUUAGCUCAGUGGCAUAAGUACCUGCUUUGCAAGCAGGAGGUCGUAGUUAGAUCCCCA